RNAcentral lists this ribosomal RNA (301 nucleotides) under uncultured bacterium. RNAcentral describes it as "partial 16S ribosomal RNA". It matches the Rfam family "Bacterial small subunit ribosomal RNA", at positions 509 to 807 of the family's 1533-position model. The record is from RNAcentral.
CAGUAACCGCGGUAAUACGAAGGGGGCUAGCGUUGUUCGGAUUUACUGGGCGUAAAGGGCGCGUAGGCGGGCGAAUAAGUCAGGGGUGAAAUCCCCCGGCUCAACCGGGGAAGUGGAGCCGAAACGACCCGUCUGGAGGGACGUAGGGGGACCUGGAACUUCCGGUGGAGCGGUGAAAUGCGUUGAGAUCGGAAGGAACGCCCGUGGCGAAAGCGAGGUCCUGGACGUCUGCUGACGCUGAGACGCGAAAGCCAGGGGAGCGAACGGGAUUAGAUACCCCGGUAGUCCCUGUCUCUUAUAC